AUCUUCAUCAUCGUACAUCUUCU
Molecule: non-coding RNA, 23 nt
Filed under: Arabidopsis thaliana (thale cress)
Lineage: Eukaryota; Viridiplantae; Streptophyta; Magnoliopsida; Brassicales; Brassicaceae
Source: RNAcentral